GCCGCUUGUGAUUGGUGAACGCAGCCGCGGCCGGGAAGUUCGAAGACAAACCAGAGCACAGCGAAGGCACAGGCAGGAACCGCGGCCGCAAGAUGCGUGCAGCUUUAAGAGCGAGACCAUUUCAAAGGCCUAAGGGUUCGGCCAAAAGGCCUGGGAAAUUAGCAGAGGAGUACAUCAGACACAUACUAGGCCAGAUGCCAGGUGGCUAAGGAUUGGAUCAACGUUUUUCAAAGACUGGUGCUAGAUAUCAUCAUAGGCACUUUCAGUCCAGGAGGAAAUCUUAAUUCAAAGUUCUAUCUUGAUUCGAAGUUUGCAUUCAGAAUGGGCCUCCUGCGUUAGACGGCACCGAUUCUGGCAGGCCUUCGUCAGGACCGUCCUCUCCUCCCGUCCGUGAUGGCAGUGUGCACGGUGUAACGGGAUGGCAGAGAUGAAGCCUUCCCAACACCGGACAGCAAACUGUGGCUGAACACCGAAACUGAGGCCAGAUUUCACUUUGGCCUACUUCAGAGUUUGGGAGAAGAUUUCAGUAAGCAAAAUGUAUUUUGAAAAAAUGGUUUCUGAGUUCCUUUUUAGUUCUUUUCUGGAGAACCAACUAGACAUUUUACAGUGAGAUCAAUGAAUUCCCCUUAAGAUCCACAAGAUGGUGCUAUGAAGCGGCAUUUAGAAAAAUUUUAAAAAUCAUUUGGCUUCUAGAAGCACACUUUGAAGCAGGAUCAAGUCAAACAUCAUUUAAUGACAUCAGCUACGGAUGAACCUGUCUUUAAAAGGCUGGGGCGAAGCAGACGUGUUGACAGAAAGGGCACCUUUACUCCUAAUGCUACUUCUAAAUACUCUAUUUUUCAAAUUAUACAUGUUAACUUUGCUUUCGAUCUCAGGUUUUAAAAUUACUUUAUGAGAACACUAAGGGUUGAAUUUGGAUCUCAGCAAGGUUAAAUCGCAAUGGAGAAAUACUGAACUGAAACGGAGAGCACGUUUCUAAUCCCUGCUCUCCACGACAUCUCUGCAUGGGGUCAGGCUCUGUCCCUCCUGUUUCUCGGCAGGCGGGUGUCUGCCCCAGGGGGUGUGGCAAUGUCCAGAUGCAGUUCUGGGGUCACAGCUGGGUGGGCGCUCAGGGUGCUGUUGUGGGUGAGGCCCGGGAUCUGCUCCUAGUCCUGCAGGGCGAAGGAAGUGCCCCGACCUCAGCCCUCGAACGCCAGGCUGAGCACCUGACCCCUUCACUCAUUCCCUGCUGGUUGUCUGUCUGUUCACUAACUUUCAUUCCUGUGACACGGAGUUAGCCAUCUGUCAGUGCAUUCAUUCAUUUCCUAGCACAUUGUUACAAAGUGUCUACCAUGACUCAAGAUUGGACCCAGCUUUAGAGAUGAAAAGAAUGAUCUCAUUCCUAUUCAGUCUAACAGGGGAGAGAGAUGCUUAGGAAAUAGCAUAAUAAACGAUCUGUAUUUUGCUCCCAAGUGUGAACAUUCUGGGAACAGGGACAUCUAGCAGUGAAGCUUGGGCCAGCUGUGAGGACCCGGCAGGCUGCCCACGAGCUGUGGGUUGGGAAAGGGGCGGGAAGGGACCCGUGAGGUGGUGCGCAGCACACAGCCCAGCCGGGGCCAGGGAGGCCCGCUUUGCUCAGUGUGCAUCACUGUGGACGCGAAAGAGCAUCCCAGGAGAGCCGGAUGAGAAGACCCUAAAAGUUAACAGGAGAAUGGGAGAGGGCGGCGGCAGCACGUCCCCUCUGGGGUCUGGGCUUCACAGCCUUGGGGCUUUGGGGAGCCCCAUGUCCAAGUUUCUUUUAGCUGUAAAACUUCAUUCUGUUAGUCUAAAGCGAACCCCUUAGACUGCAUAGUGACUAUCAGCAACGGUCACAGCUAUGAAAAAAAUAUCCUUUUUAAUAAUAUAAAGUUAUGCUGUCACAGAUAUUUACUUUCAUUAUAAUGAAUAAAAUAUAUUUUUAUUGAUCUAUUUGGGUUUUUUUAAAAAGCUGGACAGACCUCAGAAGAUCAAGUCAGGUUUGGGUCUUGUGGAUGGUUCAUAACUAUGCUAAAACCAGGAAGGUCGCCCCAGGGUGAAUUCUUAAAAUACUUGUCCCUCAGCCCUCUCCAGUCCUGUGCUUUUACCAAUAAGCUCUAGAAAUCUAAUUAGGUCUGAGUAGUUUAAUGUAUGUUUUAUA
This is a long non-coding RNA of Cavia porcellus (domestic guinea pig), 2155 nucleotides long. RefSeq lists it as uncharacterized. The record is from RefSeq and is a predicted model, not a curated record. NCBI's taxonomy places the organism in Eukaryota, Metazoa, Chordata, Mammalia, Rodentia, Caviidae. The transcript has 3 exons.